GCUGGCGUAGCUCAGUCCGGUAGAGCAGCUGAUUUGUAAUCAGCCGGUCGGGGGUUCGAAUCCCUUCGCCAGCUCCA
Molecule: transfer RNA, 77 nt
Filed under: Luteitalea pratensis
Lineage: Bacteria; Pseudomonadati; Acidobacteriota; Vicinamibacteria; Vicinamibacterales; Vicinamibacteraceae
Also listed under: 6 other names
Description: tRNA-Thr
Rfam family: tRNA
About the family: Transfer RNA (tRNA) molecules are approximately 80 nucleotides in length. Their secondary structure includes four short double-helical elements and three loops (D, anti-codon, and T loops).
Source: RNAcentral